Molecule: ribosomal RNA, 1173 nt
Filed under: uncultured organism
Description: bacterial SSU rRNA
Rfam family: Bacterial small subunit ribosomal RNA
Source: RNAcentral
CACGGGUGCGUAACGCGUAUGCAACCUACCUUUAACUGGGACAUAGCCCCGAGAAAUCGGGAUUAAUAUCCCAUAAUAUCCAGAAAACGCAUGUUUUCUGGAUUAAAGUUCCGGCGGUUAAAGAUGGGCAUGCGUGGCAUUAGUUAGUUGGUGAGGUAACGGCUCACCAAGGCAAUGAUGCCUAGGGGUCCUGAGAGGGUUUUCCCCCACACUGGUACUGAGACACGGACCAGACUCCUACGGGAGGCAGCAGUAAGGAAUAUUGGGCAAUAGGCGCAAGCCUGACCCAGCCAUGCCGCGUGCAGGAUGACGGCCCUAUGGGUUGUAAACUGCUUUUGUAUGGGAAAAAACUCCCGCACGUGUGCGGGACUGAUUGUACCAUACGAAUAAGCAUCGGCUAACUCCGUGCCAGCAGCCGCGGUAAUACGGAGGAUGCAAGCGUUAUCCGGAUUUAUUGGGUUUAAAGGGUGCGCAGGCGGAUUAGUAAGUCAGUGGUGAAAGCUCCCGGCUCAACCGGGAAAAUGCCAUUGAUACUGUUAAUCUUGAGUACAGUUGAGGUUGGCGGAAUGUAUCAUGUAGCGGUGAAAUGCAUAGAUAUGAUACAGAACACCGAUAGCGAAGGCAGCUUACCAAACUGUAACUGACGCUCAUGCACGAAAGCGUGGGGAGCAAACAGGAUUAGAUACCCUGGUAGUCCACGCUGUAAACUAUGAUCACUCGCUGUUGGCGAUACACUGUCAGCGGCUUAGCGAAAGUGUUAAGUGAUCCACCUGGGGAGUACGAUGGCAAGGUUGAAACUCAAAGGAAUUGUCGGGGGCCCGCACAAGCGGAGGAGCAUGUGGUUUAAUUCGAUGAUACGCGAGGAACCUUACCUGGGGUUAAAUGCAGAACGACCUCCCGAGAAAUCGGGACUUCCUUCGGGACGGAUUGCAAGGUGCUGCAUGGUUGUCGUCAGCUCGUGCCGUGAGGUGUCGGGUUAAGUCCCAUAACGAGCGCAACCCUUAUCCUUAGUUGCCAACAGGUAAUGCUGGGAACUCUAAGGAAACUGCCUACGCAAGUAGUGAGGAAGGUGGGGAUGACGUCAAAUCAGCACGGCCCUUAUGUCCAGGGCUACACACGUGCUACAAUGGUCGGUACAGAGGGCAGCUACCUGGCAACAGGAUGCUAAUCUCG